UACGGGAAGGGCAAGCGUUAUCCGGCGUGACUGGGCGUAAAGAGUCCGUAGACGGUAAAGUAAGUUUAUUGUUAAAUAUUAAAACUUAAUUUUAAUAGAGCAAUAAGUACUGCUUUACUUUGAGUUUAAUAUAGAAAAGUAGAAUUUUAUAUGGUAGGGGUGAAAUCCGUAGAUAUAUAAAGGAAUGUCAAUAGCGAAGGCAACUUU
This 207-nucleotide ribosomal RNA is filed under the name uncultured bacterium. RNAcentral's name for it is "partial 16S ribosomal RNA". It matches the Rfam family "Bacterial small subunit ribosomal RNA", at positions 524 to 728 of the family's 1533-position model. The record is from RNAcentral.